GGGUCCUACGGGAGGCAGCAGUGAGGAAUAUUGGCCAAUGGGCGCGAGCCUGAACCAGCCAAGUCGCGUGAGGGAAGACGGUCCUAUGGAUUGUAAACCUCUUUUGUCGGGGAGCAAAAGACGCCACGUGUGGCGUUCCGAGAGUACCCGAGGAAAAAGCAUCGGCUAACUCCGUGCCAGCAGCCGCGGUAAUACGGAGGAUGCGAGCGUUAUCCGGGUUUAUUGGGUUUAAAGGGUGCGCAGGCGGAAGAUCAAGUAAGCGGUAAAAUUGAGAGGCUCAACCUCUUCGAGCCGUUGAGACUGGU
RNAcentral lists this ribosomal RNA (305 nucleotides) under uncultured bacterium. RNAcentral's name for it is "bacterial SSU rRNA". It matches the Rfam family "Bacterial small subunit ribosomal RNA", at positions 334 to 637 of the family's 1533-position model. The record is from RNAcentral.